GAGUUGAUCAUGGCUCAGGACGAACGCUGGCGGCGCGCUUACACAUGCAAGUCGAGCGAGAACCGGCCCUUCGGGGCCGGGGACAGCGGCGAACGGGUGAGUAACACGUGGGUAAUCUGCCCUUGGUACCGGGAUAGCCCGGGGAAACCCGGAUUAAUACCGGAUGGCCUCUCGGGCCCUCGGGCUCGUGAGAAAAGGUAGCUUCGGCCUCCGACCGAGGAUGAGCCCGCGGCCGAUUAGCUUGUUGGUGAGGUAACGGCUCACCAAGGCGACGAUCGGUAGCUGGUCUGAGAGGACGAUCAGCCACACUGGGACUGAGACACGGCCCAGACUCCUACGGGAGGCAGCAGUGGGGAAUCUUGCGCAAUGGGCGAAAGCCUGACGCAGCGACGCCGUGUGCGGGAAGAAGGCCUUCGGGUUGUAAACCGCUUUCAGGAGGGACGAAGCCACUCGGGUUAAUAGCCUAGAGGGUGACGGUACCUCCAGAAGAAGCCCCGGCUAACUACGUGCCAGCAGCCGCGGUAAUACGUAGGGGGCUAGCGUUGUCCGGAUUUAUUGGGCGUAAAGAGCGUGUAGGCGGCCAGGUAGGUCCGGUGUGAAAACUCGAGGCUCAACCUCGAGAUGUCAUCGGAAACCAUUUGGCUAGAGUCCGGAAGAGGAGAGUGGAAUUCCUGGUGUAGCGGUGAAAUGCGCAGAUAUCAGGAAGAACACCUAUGGCGAAAGCAGCUCUCUGGGACGGUACUGA
Molecule: ribosomal RNA, 745 nt
Filed under: uncultured bacterium
Lineage: Bacteria
Description: bacterial SSU rRNA
Rfam family: Bacterial small subunit ribosomal RNA
Source: RNAcentral